AGGACGAACGCUGGCGGCGUGCUUAACACAUGCAAGUCGAACGGUAAGGCCUUCGGGUACACGAGUGGCGAACGGGUGAGUAACACGUGGGUGAUCUGCCCUGCACUUUGGGAUAAGCCUGGGAAACUGGGUCUAAUACCGAAUAUGACCAUUGGUUGCAUGACUGGUGGUGGAAAGCUUUUGCGGUGUGGGAUGGGCCCGCGGCCUAUCAGCUUGUUGGUGGGGUGAUGGCCUACCAAGGCGACGACGGGUAGCCGGCCUGAGAGGGUGUCCGGCCACACUGGGACUGAGAUACGGCCCAGACUCCUACGGGAGGCAGCAGUGGGGAAUAUUGCACAAUGGGCGCAAGCCUGAUGCAGCGACGCCGCGUGAGGGACGACGGCCUUCGGUUGUAAACCUCUUUCAGCACAGACGAAGCGCAAGUGACGGUAUGUGCAGAAGAGCACCGGCCAACUACGCGCCAGCAGCCGCGGU
RNAcentral lists this ribosomal RNA (474 nucleotides) under uncultured bacterium. RNAcentral's name for it is "SSU rRNA". It matches the Rfam family "Bacterial small subunit ribosomal RNA", at positions 26 to 521 of the family's 1533-position model. The record is from RNAcentral.